GACGAACGCUGGCGGCGUGCCUAAUACAUGCAAGUAGAACGCUGAAGAGAGGAGCUUGCUCUUCUUGGAUGAGUUGCGAACGGGUGAGUAACGCGUAGGUAACCUGCCUGGUAGCGGGGGAUAACUAUUGGAAACGAUAGCUAAUACCGCAUAAAAUGGAUUAUCGCAUGAUAAUCCAUUGAAAGGUGCAAAUGCAUCACUACCAGAUGGACCUGCGUUGUAUUACCUAGUUGGUGGGGUAACGGCUCACCAAGGCGACGAUACAUAGCCGACCUGAGAGGGUGAUCGGCCACACUGGGACUGAGACACGGCCCAGACUCCUACGGGAGGCAGCAGUAGGGAAUCUUCGGCAAUGGACGGAAGUCUGACCGAGCAACGCCGCGUGAGUGAAGAAGGUUUUCGGAUCGUAAAGCUCUGUUGUAAGAGAAGAACGAGUGUGAGAGUGGAAAGUUCACACUGUGACGGUAUCUUACCAGAAAGGGACGGCUAACUACGUG
RNAcentral lists this ribosomal RNA (497 nucleotides) under uncultured bacterium. RNAcentral's name for it is "partial 16S ribosomal RNA". It matches the Rfam family "Bacterial small subunit ribosomal RNA", at positions 28 to 507 of the family's 1533-position model. The record is from RNAcentral.